GAUGAACGCUGGCGGCGUGCUUAACACAUGCAAGUCGAACGGUGAAGCGCCUUCCUUUCUGGUGGGUGUUGAUGAGCGGCGGACUGAUGAAUAACACGUUAGCCACCUGCCCCGUCUUUCUUGACAACCGCAUGAAAGAGCGGCUAACACGGGAUAUUCUGGAUCUGUCGCAUCAUUGGUCUGGGAAGGAUUUUGUUUCAGUUUGGGAUGGACCCGCGGCGCAUUAGCUAGUUGGUAGGGUGAUGGCGUACCAAGGCUGCGAUGCGUAGCCGACCUGAGAGGGUGAUCGACCGCACUGGGACGGAGACAAGGCCCAGACGCCUACGGGAGGCAGCAGUAGGGAAGAUUCGGGAACGGGGGGAAGCAUGAUGGAGCAACGCCGCGGGGGGGAUGAAGGAGUUCGGAUGGUAAAGAACUGCUAUCGGGAAUGAACAAAUGUGUACGUAUCUAUGGGUGGGUUGACGGUACCUGGAUAAAAAGCGACGGCUAACUACGUG
RNAcentral lists this ribosomal RNA (497 nucleotides) under uncultured bacterium. RNAcentral's name for it is "partial 16S ribosomal RNA". It matches the Rfam family "Bacterial small subunit ribosomal RNA", at positions 28 to 507 of the family's 1533-position model. The record is from RNAcentral.